CAAGGCUAGUGAUAGCUGGUUCUCCGCGAAAAUUAUUUAAGUAAUACGGGGAAGACUGCUAGGUUAGGGUAAAGUAAUCUUGGAACAAUGCAAUAGAAUAUUGCGCAACGUUUUUAGAAACUCUAAAUAUAACCUAGUUUAUUUCUCUAGUCAGACGUACUCGCGCAAAGGUGAUACGUCAAGAGGGAAACAGCCCAGAUCACCAGUUAAGGUGUUUAAUAAUCUUUAAUUUGAAAGGAGUAAAAUUAAUACGUUACUUAGGAGAUAGGCUUGGAAGCAGCCAUUCAUUAAAGAAAGAGUAAAAGCUCACUAAGUUAAUAUAAUAUAACGACUAUAAAUAUUACGUUAUAUUUAAUCCGAUAAUGUAUAGGUAGUAAAACUAUUAACCGAAGCUUCGAAAAUAAUCUAUUUGGUAGUGGAGUUUUCUGUAAUUCAAUAAAGAUUAAUUGUGAAAUUAGUUUGAGAAAUCAGUUUUAAUUAUACUAGUACUAGUAACGUAAAAUUAUGAUUUAUAUCAUAAUCACCUAAAAUUCUAGAGUUUCAUUACAAGGGAUAACCUAAAUGGCAAAUACGUCCUCUUAGAAAAAGACUAACGUCGUAUGUUUAAUGAGUUAAAUACUAAUUUGACUUUAAUAAAAGUUUAUAUUAAAUAUUAGUUUAAUUUUUAUAAACUGUAAUUAAACUAGAAAAAUAUUAGUAACCUUUAAUUUCGAUUAAAGGCUAAUUUUCUACAAAGCGUAUUAAAUCUGACACUAGUGAAUUAGUAGAAUAUACUGUGGUGAUAGAAGAAUAUAAUUGAAGGAACUCGGCAAAUUAACCCUGUAACAUCUGGAGAAGGGGGAUUCUAUUUUAUAGAAUAUCUAAAAAGAGGGGAUGGCGACUGUUUAUCAAAAACACAGGACUUUGCUAAAUUUAAUAAUGAUGUACAAGGUCUGACACCUGCCCAGUUCUAAAAAGUAAAUGAUUAUAAGUUAUGCUUAUUGGUCUAAGCUAUAGUAAACGGCGGCUGUAACUCUGACGGUCCGAAGGUAGCGAAAUUCAUCGGCGGGUAAGUUCCGUCCUGCAUGAAUGGUGUAACGACUGUCCCACUGUCUCCAAUUAUAAUCUAGUGAAGCUGAAUACUAGGUGAAAAUGCCUAGAUAGAACAACGGGACGGAAAGACCCCGUGCACCUUUACUAGAACCUUAUAUUGCUUUAGUGUUUUUGUAAACUACGGGAGAAGAAAUUCUAUAACCGUGGAUACUAAAAUCUUUAGCUUAGAAUAUACUAAAAGAUUUCAAUUUUAUUCAAAUUUGUAAGGAUGCUAGUUUCACUGGGGCGGUGACCUCCUAAAAAGUAACGGAGGUGUACAAAGACUUUGUAAAACAUAUGUGCUAUGUGAGUAUUAUAAUGAAUUAAACUUAGUCUGAUUAAAAAAUUAACCAAUUUUUUAAGGGUAAAUUAUUUUUACCUGUCAUAGUGACCCGAUAAUAUUUAUUGAUAAAGUUAUCGAUUAACGAAUAAAAGGUACGCCGGGGAUAACAGGCUAAUGACUCCUAAGAGUUCCCAUCGACGGAGUUGAUUGGCACCUCGAUGUCGGCUCAUCAUAUCCUGGUUGAGAAUCAUCUUCCAAGGGUCGGCCUGUUCUGCCGUUAAAAUGGUACGUGAGCUGGGUUCAGAACGUCGUGAGACAGUUUGGUCCCUAUCUGUUGUUAAGAUGAAAAAUAAUAGACCCUUGCUUUAGUACGAGAGGACUGAGAUAGAGUGAUCUAUGGUAGGAUAAUUGUUAUAUUCUUAGCAAGUUAUUAAGCUAAAUCACGAUAAGAUAAUUACUGAAAUAAAUUUUAAGUAAGAAGCUUUUCUAUUUAUUUUUCCUAUAGACAAAUUAAAGACUAUAAUUAUAAAUAUAAUUAAAUUGACUUAAUUGUAAAAUUACUGAGAUUUAAUUAAUAUAAAGUCAAGAUCUUAUUAUUU
Molecule: ribosomal RNA, 1953 nt
Filed under: marine metagenome
Description: bacterial LSU rRNA
Rfam family: Bacterial large subunit ribosomal RNA
Source: RNAcentral